RNAcentral lists this ribosomal RNA (460 nucleotides) under uncultured bacterium. RNAcentral describes it as "partial 16S ribosomal RNA". It matches the Rfam family "Bacterial small subunit ribosomal RNA", at positions 338 to 795 of the family's 1533-position model. The record is from RNAcentral.
CCUACGGGAGACAGCAGUGAGGAAUAUUGGUCAAUGGGCGAGAGCCUGAACCAGCCAAGUCGCGUGAAGGAUGACGGCCCUACGGGUUGUAAGCUUCUUUUGUCAGGGAGCAAUUGGGUCCACGCGUGGGCGUAGCGAGAGUACCCGACGUAACAGCAUCGCCUAACUCCGUUCCAGCAGCCGCGGUAAUACGGGGGAUUUGAGCGGUAUCCGGCUUUAUGGGGUUUAAAGGGUGCGUAGUCGGGAGAUCAAGGCAGCGGUAAAAAUUCGGGGCUAAAUCCCGUCGUGCCGUUGAAACUGCUGUGCUUGAGUGGGCGAGAGGUAGGCGGAAUGCGUGGUGUAGCGGUGAAAUGCGUAGAUAUCACGAAGAACUCCGAUUGCGAAGGCAGCAUACCGGCGGCCAACUGACGCUGAAGCACGAAAGCGUGGGUAGCGAACAGGAUUAGAUACCCUUGUAGUC